ACGGAAGGCAGCAGUGGGGAAUAUUGCACAAUGGGGGAAACCCUGAUGUAGCGACGCCGCGUGAGUGAAGAAGUAUUUCGGUAUGUAAAGCUCUAUCAGCAGGGAAGAUAAUGACGGUACCUGACUAAGAAGCACCGGCUAAAUACGUGCCAGCAGCCGCGGUAAUACGUAUGGUGCAAGCGUUAUCCGGAUUUACUGGGUGUAAAGGGAGCGUAGACGGCAAUGCAAGUCUGAUGUGAAAUCUCCGGGCUCAACCCGGAAACUGCAUUGGAAACUGUAUAGCUAGAGUGCAGGAGAGGUAAGCGGAAUUCCUAGUGUAGCGGUGAAAUGCGUAGAUAUUAGGAGGAACACCAGUGGCGAAGGCGGCUUACUGGACUGUAACUGACGUUGAGGCUCGAAAGCGUGGGGAGCAAACAGGAUUAGAUACCCUGGUA
This 434-nucleotide ribosomal RNA is filed under the name uncultured Ruminococcus sp. RNAcentral's name for it is "partial 16S ribosomal RNA". It matches the Rfam family "Bacterial small subunit ribosomal RNA", at positions 341 to 792 of the family's 1533-position model. Lineage: Bacteria; Bacillati; Bacillota; Clostridia; Eubacteriales; Oscillospiraceae. The record is from RNAcentral.